UGCAAUGCAUUUCUGUUCAUUCACUAAAUUUUGCAUGCACUCCCUAAAAUGAUCAUGGAAAUAAUAUGAGAUAGGAGGAGAACUAUAUUUUAAUUCCUUUGAGAGAGAGCAUAACGUUUCUCAAGGGAACGCUAAAGUUCUGUGAGUGAACACAAAGCUUUUGAUUAUAAUUUUUCCUCUUAUCUCACAUUUUUUUCCAUGAUUUUUUCAAUAAAUUCCUCUUCCUAUCAAUUCAGCUUUGUUGGGGUGUGGCCAAUUCAACUCAAAUUCAACUCCUUAAAAAGGAGCCAGUUCUGCAAUUCUGCAAUUUGCACAACCCUGUUGGAUCAAUAGUUUUCGCAAUGUUGCGAUGUUGGGAAAACCACAUCUGACACUCUUUAUUAAGUAUACUAUGAUCUGAUAUUAUUACCAGACUGCCACUCCAUUACUGUAAUGAGUCCUCUAUAAUACGCUGUGCUAGACUUCCGUGUAACCAGCAAAAUGAAACACCUAUCAGGUAUUUGUUGAUCCAGAUGGCAUACCGACAUGACUCCUGCUUUCUGCCCAGCUCUGUACAGUGUGUUAAGGGAAUAAUCUGACCUUUUGAAAACUUCUGAAGUAUAUUAACCUGAUGGAGGUCACGUGGAUUGAUAAAACGAUAUUUGGAUUGGCAUCAGAUGACUAGGACAGAGUUGUCUAUGUAACAGGGAUAUCAGAGUCAACAUCUCAGCACGGCAAGUUUAUUAGACUCUUGAACCAGAGGUAUUUAAUUACUCUUGAUGUUUAGCACAUAAAAUUCCUUUGAAGAUAAAGUAUAAAUAUGACCUUGGUCUGAGCUAGAGCUCUAGGAAAAACAGCAGUUAUCGCAUACGGACUCUCCAAGUGCUCUCAGCACUGAUCUGGACAUCGUGUUCUGUGUAUCCCCCAUGAUUCAGAGAGGCCUUGCUGCUCAGGCUAUGUUUGGCCCACACAGGAGUGUGUGCCAACUUCACAUCCUGCCAAGGAGAAAGCGCUUUGUGCCCAAGACUUUGCCUUUAGCUAUUAAACCUGCAUGACACAGUGACAGAAGGAACGCCAUUACAACAAAUGCCUGUAUUGCCCCCCCCAUAGUGGCGGCAUCUGUUGCUUUUCCUUCUAGAUUUUUUUUUUUUCCGUUUGGCAUCUACAUCCAUGUGAAAGGGAAAAAAUAUCUUUGACCAGCAGGUCAGUGGGGGGAGGACAGAAUGUACAUUUAUGUUUCUAUUUUUGUCCUCACUAAAGGAAACUGAGUAGAAUGAUAAUAAAAAGAAUAGAAG
Cyprinus carpio carpio is the source of this 1274-nucleotide long non-coding RNA. The record is from Ensembl. Lineage: Eukaryota; Metazoa; Chordata; Actinopteri; Cypriniformes; Cyprinidae.